This 274-nucleotide ribosomal RNA is filed under the name uncultured bacterium. RNAcentral describes it as "partial 16S ribosomal RNA". It matches the Rfam family "Bacterial small subunit ribosomal RNA", at positions 523 to 796 of the family's 1533-position model. The record is from RNAcentral.
AUACGGAGGGUGCAAGCGUUAAUCGGAAUUACUGGGCGUAAAGGGUACGUAGGCGGUUAAAUAAGUUGGAUGUGAAAGCCCCGGGCUCAACCUGGGAACUGCAUUCAAAACUGUUUGACUAGAGUGUAUGAGAGGUUGGCGGAAUUCCAGGUGUAGUAGUGAAAUGCGUAGAUAUCUGGAGGAACAUCAGUGGCGAAGGCGGCCAACUGGCAUAACACUGACGCUGAGGUACGAAAGCGUGGGGAGCGAACGGGAUUAGAUACCCUAGUAGUCC